This 465-nucleotide ribosomal RNA is filed under the name uncultured Klebsiella sp. Its description in RNAcentral is "bacterial SSU rRNA". It matches the Rfam family "Bacterial small subunit ribosomal RNA", at positions 338 to 795 of the family's 1533-position model. The record is from RNAcentral. Lineage: Bacteria; Pseudomonadati; Pseudomonadota; Gammaproteobacteria; Enterobacterales; Enterobacteriaceae.
CCUACGGGAGGCUGCAGUGGGGAAUAUUGCACAAUGGGCGCAAGCCUGAUGCAGCCAUGCCGCGUGUGUGAAGAAGGCCUUCGGGUUGUAAAGCACUUUCAGCGGGGAGGAAGGCGGUGAGGUUAAUAACCUCAUCGAUUGACGUUACCCGCAGAAGAAGCACCGGCUAACUCCGUGCCAGCAGCCGCGGUAAUACGGAGGGUGCAAGCGUUAAUCGGAAUUACUGGGCGUAAAGCGCACGCAGGCGGUCUGUCAAGUCGGAUGUGAAAUCCCCGGGCUCAACCUGGGAACUGCAUUCGAAACUGGCAGGCUAGAGUCUUGUAGAGGGGGGUAGAAUUCCAGGUGUAGCGGUGAAAUGCGUAGAGAUCUGGAGGAAUACCGGUGGCGAAGGCGGCCCCCCGGACAAAGACUGACGCUCAGGUGCGAAAGCGUGGGGAGCAAACAGGAUUAGAUACCCGGGUAGUC